GUGGCAUAAGUCAUAAGGAAUAUCAGCAAUGAUUCUUCCGCGGUAACACUUAUAGAAGCCUUUGCAGCCCCGCAAGGGGUGGGGAGCACGACUGUAAACAAGUCUCCCCGAUGCAAGUCAGCACCCGCUGGCGACACGAUCGAAUUGACGGGGACGUCCUAAAGCCUGCAACACCAACCCACCCGGGAAACCGAGGUGGGGGCCCGUGCUAAUCACACGGGGUGGUAAGAGAGUGCAGGAUACUCCCUCC
This 250-nucleotide unclassified non-coding RNA is filed under the name plant metagenome. RNAcentral describes it as "partial contains small subunit ribosomal RNA, internal transcribed spacer 1, and 5.8S ribosomal RNA". The record is from RNAcentral.